GUCAACUACUCACCUGAGCUACUAACGGCAUCGGGAGGGCUAUUGCGAAAGCGAGCCCAGGUUGAUUAGCUUCAGCCACCAAUCUUCGGAUUGAUGGGGCUACGUUUACCAGAAAUAUAUAGGCACUACGGGAUUAGCCGAGUCCCGUACUCUGCGGGGCAUGAUUAAACAUCGCUGAGGGCUAGGCGAAGUGUUACGGCUGAAAACUCUGGUAAACAUUAGCGACGGCAACCACUU
This is a non-coding RNA of Anaerolineaceae bacterium 4572_78, 237 nucleotides long. The record is from Rfam. NCBI's taxonomy places the organism in Bacteria, Bacillati, Chloroflexota, Anaerolineae, Anaerolineales, Anaerolineaceae.